This 497-nucleotide ribosomal RNA is filed under the name uncultured bacterium. Its description in RNAcentral is "partial 16S ribosomal RNA". It matches the Rfam family "Bacterial small subunit ribosomal RNA", at positions 28 to 507 of the family's 1533-position model. The record is from RNAcentral.
GAUGAACGCUGGCGGCGUGCCUAAUACAUGCAAGUCGAGCGAACAGACGAGGAGCUUGCUCCUCUGACGUUAGCGGCGGACGGGUGAGUAACACGUGGAUAACCUACCUAUAAGACUGGGAUAACUUCGGGAAACCGGAGCUAAUACCGGAUAAUAUAUUGAGCCGCAUGGUUCAAUAGUGAAAGACGGUUUUGCUGUCACUUAUAGAUGGAUCCGCGCCGCAUUAGCUAGUUGGUAAGGUAACGGCUUACCAAGGCAACGAUGCGUAGCCGACCUGAGAGGGUGAUCGGCCACACUGGAACUGAGACACGGUCCAGACUCCUACGGGAGGCAGCAGUAGGGAAUCUUCCGCAAGGGGCGAAAGCCUGACGGAGCAACGCCGCGUGAGUGAUGAAGGUCUUCGGAUCGUAAAACUCUGUUAUUAGGGAAGAACAAAUGUGUAAGUAACUAUGCACGUCUUGACGGUACCUAAUCAGAAAGCCACGGCUAACUACGUG